UAGGGAAUCUUCCGCAAUGGACGAAAGUCUGACGGAGCAACGCCGCGUGAGUGAAGAAGGAUUUCGGUUCGUAAAACUCUGUUGUUAGGGAAGAAAAAAUGUAUAGUAACUAUAUACAAAAGAGACGGUACCUAACCAGAAAGCCACGGCUAACUACGUGCCAGCAGCCGCGGUAAUACGUAGGUGGCAAGCGUUGUCCGGAAUUAUUGGGCGUAAAGCGCGCGCAGGUGGUUUAGAAAGUCUGAUGUGAAAGCCCACGGCUCAACCGUGGAGGGUCAUUGGAAACUAAUAAACUUGAGUGCAGGAGAGAAAAGUGGAAUUCCUAGUGUAGCGGUGAAAUGCGUAGAGAUUAGGAGGAACACCGGUGGCGAAAGCGGCUUUUUGGCCUGCAAAUGACACUGAGGCACGAAAGCGUGGGGAGCAAACAGG
This 429-nucleotide ribosomal RNA is filed under the name Verrucomicrobiota bacterium. RNAcentral describes it as "Verrucomicrobia bacterium partial 16S ribosomal RNA". It matches the Rfam family "Bacterial small subunit ribosomal RNA", at positions 355 to 776 of the family's 1533-position model. Lineage: Bacteria; Pseudomonadati; Verrucomicrobiota. The record is from RNAcentral.